GUGUAACUUGAUUAUAAUAGGUGGAUGCUGCUUUUGGUGUGUGCAUGCCUCUUCCUUGGGAAACCUGUAUGAUGAGAAGGUCUCAGAGACAUAUAAUUGCAUAAGCAGUGUGUGGCAUUGCCUGGGUGGGUGUGACAUAAAGACAAAGUCCUCAUCAAAAACUGAUUUACUCUGCCUAUGGAUACAACUACCAACUUUGGGUUAUAUAUUAAAUUCUGAACUCCUAAAUAAAGAUAGAACAUCAUUCUUGGAUGUUAUCAUGAAGAUCUCAGUGGUUCCACACCACCAGUGCUGCAGGUAUUUCCUAAAACAAGAAACACCAGAGUGGCUAUUUGUUCAAAAUUCUCUGAGGUCGAGGAAAGAAGAGGAGAGAAAGAAAAAAUAUUUCUGAUCAAGGUAAAUCAUGAUAGGCAGCAGGGAACCUAAAAAAAAAAUGGAAAAAGGAAAGGCUCAGAGGAAACCUUGAGAAGAAGCAGAAAAUACCCAGAAUGGAUCUGAAAACUUUCAAUGAAACACAUUUUUUUGAUUAAAUUGUAUCUGUCUGAUGAAAAACAGGGUCUCUAUUUUACUAAAAACCAGCUAUCAUCAGAAAGAG
Molecule: long non-coding RNA, 595 nt
Filed under: Anas platyrhynchos platyrhynchos (common mallard)
Lineage: Eukaryota; Metazoa; Chordata; Aves; Anseriformes; Anatidae
Description: lncRNA (ENSAPLG00000027380.1)
Source: RNAcentral